Long non-coding RNA from Mytilus californianus (California mussel), 1042 nucleotides. RefSeq lists it as uncharacterized. The record is from RefSeq and is a predicted model, not a curated record. The transcript has 2 exons. NCBI's taxonomy places the organism in Eukaryota, Metazoa, Mollusca, Bivalvia, Mytilida, Mytilidae.
CUGGACGUUCAGCCCGAUCAAUCAAAAAGUCCAAUGAGAGAAACCUUUGGAUGCCUCAAAAUAUAGAACACAUUCUUUUCCCAAUACGUCACAAUGUCUAUUUUGUAAAAUUAUUUAUAGUAAUAUUAUUCCAAUAGAUCCUUCGGUUGCCUCUAAAUAUAGAUCACUCGGUGAUAUUAAUAUAUAUACUGUUUGACUCCAGGUAUUGCCACGCUUUAUUUCACUGGCUGCUUAACUGAGUAAAACAUUGUAAAAGGUUAAAAUGGAAGAAAACAUGACGGUGGACAUGUGGGCGAAGGCUUGGAAAGAGGGCAAAACGAGCCACAUUCCAGAACUUUGCGAUAUGUUUACUAAAAAAGUUGAAAAAAUGUUAAACGGUCGUAAACAAGUUAAAUGUUUUGUCCCCCUUUGUGGAAAAGCUGUAGAAAUGAAAUGGCUUUGGGAUAAAGGACAUGAAGUUGUCGGCGUCGAAUGUGGUGAGGAAGCACUUAAAGAAUUUUUCGAAGAAAACAAAAUUGGAUGUAGUAUCAAAGAAAUUCCGGAGAUCAAAGGGAAAUUAUAUAAAAGUGAUGAUGGAAGAAUACGGUUGUAUUGCUGCGAUUUCUAUCUGUUUAACUCAGCUAUUGAAAGUAAAUUUGGGGCAGUUUGGGAUAGUGGUGCUCUAAAUGCCAUCAACGUAACUGACCAGGAGAAGUAUGUUGAUAUCAUCAAAUCACUUAUGGGAAAUAAAUGUGUGAAUCUUACUGUUAUUGACGACGCUACGGAUUGGGAAAUUCCAGUUAAUUUUGAUAAAAUGAGGACUUGGUUCAAAGACGGAUUCAGGGUGGAAGCAAAUGAUUAUGUAAAAGCUGACGAAAAGCUAGAAUCCUUUGGCAUCAAAGGGCAACAACUGUACACUAUAUCCAAAAUAUAAAAAUAUGUACUAACAUUGUACCUCAAUUCUUAUCUUGUUUUAUUCUUAUUUGGUAAAACAUAAUACAGAAUAACUGCAUUUGAUUUCGCUUGUUGUUGUGUAAGUAAUAAACCAUUAUUCAGUUUUGAA